RNAcentral lists this ribosomal RNA (465 nucleotides) under uncultured bacterium. RNAcentral describes it as "partial 16S ribosomal RNA". It matches the Rfam family "Bacterial small subunit ribosomal RNA", at positions 28 to 507 of the family's 1533-position model. The record is from RNAcentral.
GACGAACGCUGGCGGCGUGCUUAACACAUGCAAGUCGAACGGAAAGGCCCCUUUGGGGGUCCUCGAGUGGCGAACGGGUGAGUAACACGUGAGUAACCUGCCCUUGACUUCGGGAUAACUUCAGGAAACUGGGGCUAAUACCGGAUAGGAAUCCUUGCUGCAUGGUGGGGGUUGGAAAGCUUCGGCGGUUUUGGAUGGACUCGCGGCUUAUCAGCUUGUUGGUGGGGUAGUGGCUUACCAAGGCUUUGACGGGUAGCCGGCCUGAGAGGGCGACCGGCCACAUUGGGACUGAGAUACGGCCCAGACUCCUACGGGAGGCAGCAGUGGGGAAUAUUGCACAAUGGGCGGAAGCCUGAUGCAGCAACGCCGCGGGCGGGAUGACGGCCUUCGUGUUGUAAACCGCUUUCAGCAGGGGCGAAGCUUGUGGUGACGGUACCUGCAGAAGAAGCACCGGCUAACUACGUG